Molecule: ribosomal RNA, 460 nt
Filed under: uncultured bacterium
Lineage: Bacteria
Description: partial 16S ribosomal RNA
Rfam family: Bacterial small subunit ribosomal RNA
Source: RNAcentral
CCUACGGGAGGCUGCAGUGAGGAAUAUUGGUCAAUGGACGCAAGUCUGAACCAGCCAUGCCGCGUGCGGGAAGACGGCUCUAUGAGUUGUAAACUGCUUUUGUACGGGGGUAAACGCAGAUACGCGUAUCUGUCUGAAAGUAUCUUACGAAUAAGGAUCGGCUAACUCCGUGCCAGCAGCCGCGGUAAUACGGAGGAUUCGAGCGUUAUCCGGAUUUAUUGGGUUUAAAGGGUGCGUAGGCGGUCGGAUAAGUUAGAGGUUAAAUCCCGGGGCUCAACUUCGGACUUGCCUCUGAUACUGGUAGGCUAGAGAGUAGUAGCGGUAGGCGGAAUGUAUGGUGUAGCGGUGAAAUGCUUAGAUAUCACGAAGAACUCCGAUUGCGAAGGCAGCCUACUAAAUUGACACUGACAUUGAUGCUCGAAAGUGUGGGUAUCAAACAGGAUUAGAUACCCGAGUAGUC